Molecule: long non-coding RNA, 1749 nt
Organism: Amphibalanus amphitrite
Lineage: Eukaryota; Metazoa; Arthropoda; Thecostraca; Balanomorpha; Balanidae
Exons: 4
Source: RefSeq, a predicted model, not a curated record
CAGUCUGCUCCGACCUACGGACGCGUGUGCAUGUGUGUGGGUGCCGCGCGCGUCGAGUGCAGCAGUACAGGUCCGGCCAUGACCGACCAGGGGUCUGGCCGAGACCCGAACAUCGGCGAUAGACAAUCAACAUGGUCUUAAAUUAAUGUUGAGGUAGUGGUACAGUUUGACACUGCCUGUUCUGGGUUUAAAUUCCCAGAAAAACCAAAAGUUGAAGAAAAAAGCACCAGCAACGAAUACAACGCGCCCGCCAGAUUCUGUUCGCCCAUCUGGUGUUAUUCGCCGGUCACCGAGCCGGCGUGUGGACCGGCCUGAAAGUGGAGGAGUGGGAGCGACGUCGCGACUCCGCUCGCUCCACGACGGUGUUGCACCAUGGCGGAAAGGUUCGGCGCAUCAUGGGAACGACGACAGUGGUCUUGACGCCGGAUCAGGCGUCACUGGUGAGCCUCUUCUACCAGCAUGCCCGCUCGCUCCUGCCAACGGCCGCAAACAGUGACCUCUUCCCCGGGCUGCAGCCGCAUAACCCGGGUGGAGUCGAGGGCCUGUUUGAGGGGCUCGACAAAGGGGAGCCGACCCUGUUGUGCGGUGGAAACGAAUGUCGCCAGUUUCAUACUGACCUGAGCCUCGACGUCGCCAACAGCGUCUAGGACGGGCCUGCUUCAUCCUUCACAACCUGUGCUGCCAUCACGGCGAUGAGGGCGAGUGGCUGGCAGCCGACGACCCUGCCCGCGCCGCCCGGCUGCUGGUGGAGGAGGCUGGCGGGCUGUCGCCGGGAACCCAGAAGAGGCACCAACAACGGCAGCCGAGAGGCGCCGUUGUAAUCGCAACCGUCUUUUUUUGUGAAACUGGCCACUGGUGGUAGUGACCUUAAAUAGCAAAAUAUUAUUUGACGAACAAGUCUCCGUCGAUGAUUUUCAAUAACAUGUAACGAUUUUACAACACAUUUCUUGAAAGCCUGUAAAAGGUGAAAAUGCGACCUUUGACCUGACCUGUGACGUCAUCGGUUUGACCGAGGUCAAUGAAAUUGGGUCACAAGGUAGUUCCCCGGUGGGGCUAUCGAACGCUGUUUAAAUCUUGAAAGUCGGCCGGUAACUUUCCGAGAUCUGGGGGGGGGGGGCGAAAGGCCCCCCUUCCUCUACGGGUGGUAGGGUCCGCUGAUAGACAUACGGGGCGCGGGUUAAGUUAUCGGUUAGCCCGCCCAUUACGUUAAUCACACGAGGUCUGAUUUCACAGGUGCUGUACCUGGGCGACAAAGGCGGCAGCACCGUUGGCGAGUGUGUCCGCCGCGUCAUGGCCCAACUGAUGAGGAGCGGCCUUGGGCAGCGCUUUAACAUGAAUGGGGCCCAGCGUCACGGAAAGACGGGCUUUAGAACAACGAAGCUCUACACUGUCGUCUACAGGCCAGUCAAACAGAACCCGGCCUUGUCGGUGACAGAAAAGGACAUAGCCAACGCUAUCGGAAAGUGGCUGGUGAACAGCCGAGACCGGGAAGGUUACAGGACGGCGCGCCAGGCCACCAACAGUAGCGGCGGUGGCAGCGGGGGCGGCGGGCGCCGACACCAGCAACGGCGGUGGCGGCGGCAACGGCGUCGAACAUAACGCUGACGCUGACGAGGGCGGGGCGGGGCGGUGCGUCACCUAGUGUGUCUCGCGUGUAAUAUACGUUUAAAGGAAACUGUCGUAGUUGUUAAUGUAUGAAUGUACCAGAAGUGAAAGGAAGCCAGGUAGUUUUAAGUCCACAAAAGGACA